This 465-nucleotide ribosomal RNA is filed under the name uncultured bacterium. RNAcentral's name for it is "partial 16S ribosomal RNA". It matches the Rfam family "Bacterial small subunit ribosomal RNA", at positions 28 to 507 of the family's 1533-position model. The record is from RNAcentral.
GACGAACGCUGGCGGCGUGCUUAACACAUGCAAGUCGAACGCUGAACCCGCUUCGGUGGGGGAUGAGUGGCGAACGGGUGAGUAACACGUGGGCAACCUGCCCCCGGCUCUGGGAUAACUCCAAGAAAUUGGGGCUAAUACCGGAUGUGACCGCUGGCCGCCUGCUUUGGUGGUGGAAAGGGUUUCCGGCUGGGGAUGGGCCCGCGGCCUAUCAGCUUGUUGGUGGGGUAGUGGCCUACCAUGGCGACGACGGGUAGCCGGCCUGCGAGGGUGACCGGCCACACUGGGACGGAGACACGGCCCAGCCUCCUACGGGAGGCAGCAGUGGGGAGUAUUGCGCAAUGGGCGGAGGCAUAACGCAGCGACGCCGCGUGGGGGAUGACGGCCUUCGUGUUGUAAACCUCUUUCAGCAGAGACGAAGCGCAAGUGACGGUACCUGCAGAAGAAGCACCGGCCAACUACGUG